Molecule: ribosomal RNA, 253 nt
Filed under: uncultured bacterium
Lineage: Bacteria
Description: partial 16S ribosomal RNA
Rfam family: Bacterial small subunit ribosomal RNA
Source: RNAcentral
UACGUAGGGGGCAAGCGUUGUCCGGAAUCAUUGGGCGUAAAGCGUGCGUAGGCGGCCCUGUAAGUCCGCUGUAAAAGUCAAAGGCUCAACCUUUGAAAGCCGGUGGAUACUGCAGGGCUAGAGUCCGGAAGAGGCGAGUGGAAUUCCUGGUGUAGCGGUGGAAUGCGCAGAUAUCAGGAGGAACACCAAUAGCGAAGGCAGCUCGCUGGGACGGUACUGACGCUAAGGCGCGAAAGCGUGGGGAGCUAACAGG